UUGCUUUAGAAGUGCAUAUACAAAAAUUAGAAUACUACAUAGAAGAUAAACAUGGCUCCUGUCAGGGAUGACAUACGAAGUCUAGAAGCAUUCCAUAUUUUU
This is a small nuclear RNA of Nannospalax galili (Upper Galilee mountains blind mole rat), 102 nucleotides long. The record is from Ensembl. Lineage: Eukaryota; Metazoa; Chordata; Mammalia; Rodentia; Spalacidae.